GAGGACAAGCAAGGAGCAAGAACUCAGAUAAUCCCUGGGCCAAUUAUCCAGGACCUGCACAGAAAGGCAUCCUAAUGAAGACUUGCUGAAGGAAUGAAUAAGUGGGUGACCAUUGUAUGCAGGCAAACUUGUGAGAACCUGCUGAGAUAUUAAUGCAUCCUAAGGUUUUAAGGGAUCAAGAUCACGGGUUAGAGUUUGUAUGAAAAGCAAGGUGUUGGUAGAAUUAA
Molecule: long non-coding RNA, 227 nt
Filed under: Homo sapiens (human)
Lineage: Eukaryota; Metazoa; Chordata; Mammalia; Primates; Hominidae
Description: HSALNT0057657
Source: RNAcentral